UACGUAGGGUGCGAGCGUUAAUUGGAAUUACUGGGCGUAAAGCGUGCGCAGGCGGUUCGUUGUGUCGGCGGUGAAAGCCCCGGGCUCAACCUGGGAAUGGCCGUUGAAACUGGCGAACUGGAGUGUGGCAGAGGGGGGUGGAAUUCCGCGUGUAGCAGUGAAAUGCGUAGAGAUGCGGAGGAACACCGAUGGCGAAGGCAGCCCCCUGGGCUGACACUGACGCUCAGGCACGAAAGCGUGGGGAGCAAACAGG
RNAcentral lists this ribosomal RNA (253 nucleotides) under uncultured bacterium. RNAcentral describes it as "partial 16S ribosomal RNA". It matches the Rfam family "Bacterial small subunit ribosomal RNA", at positions 524 to 776 of the family's 1533-position model. The record is from RNAcentral.